UAUCAUACCUGUAUCGUUUCGCGACACAGAAGGGGAAUGGUUGAUAGGUUUCAACACCUUUAUUAAUGUAACCUUAGCUUUUGAGGCUGUAAAAACGACUCUCAUUUUGGGUUUAAAACCUGCUAUGAAAAAGAAGUUCAUGCACAUUAUUGUAGCUACUAAUUCUAUGCAUCUUUACAAUGCCAUAAAUAAUGAAACUGGAAACAAAACUAACUUCAUCUAUAUUUGCAGGG
This 233-nucleotide long non-coding RNA is filed under the name Capsicum annuum. RNAcentral's name for it is "long non-coding RNA (CANN_LNC000837)". The record is from RNAcentral. Lineage: Eukaryota; Viridiplantae; Streptophyta; Magnoliopsida; Solanales; Solanaceae.